Non-coding RNA from Acanthosepion pharaonis, 101 nucleotides. Lineage: Eukaryota; Metazoa; Mollusca; Cephalopoda; Sepiida; Sepiidae. The record is from the annotation of a GenBank genome assembly.
AUAUCACGUGGAAACACGGGUUCCCGUACGAUCACCAAAGUUAAGCAAGUAUGUUCAGUACUUAGAUGGGUGACCUUCUUAGGAAUAUCAGGUGCUGUAAU